GUUGGAAAGAUUAGCGUGGUGUAAGGGCAAUAUAGGAGUGUAACAGCAAAGGGACAACUGCAGAUGGAAUGGUGUUACAAAGGAAAAGCACUCACCCAUCUCUGAAGAUCCAGCCUUACAAAAGGAACUUCCUAAGGGAGAAAUCUCCAACCAGAGACCCUUCCCCAGUGGGGGUCAGCCCUUACAUGAGGUCUAAGAGAGGUGCAGCCAGGCUCCACCCCUCCCAGUCCCACAGCUCAAUUGCCCUCACCUGUGCUCCCAGGGCUGACCGGGUCCUUUUCCCAGGUGCUCAAUCAGUGCUUCAGGCCGUGACUCAGCAGUUACCAUACAGUCUGUUAUUAUGGAGAAAUUCAUCAUUACACUAUUCCAUCGCACGAUGCCUUUCUGCCAUUUGAUUGUGCUGCUUGCUUAAGGGCUCCUUAUUCGAGAUGCAAAGCUCACAGCAGAAAGCCUUCACUGGCACUGGGGAUCUGGAUCAGACCCAGAGAGCAGAAGAUAAUAUUAGUUCCUAACUUUCCUAUCUGAGCGUGACGUGCCCCCAGGCCUGCUGCUUGUCUUAGCAGAAGCAUUAUCUCCUGUUUAGGCAUGACAAUAUUUGUCAAGUGUGAUGCUCAUUAGUCUGCCGCGUGGUCAGGCUCGCAGUGUAUUAACACUCCAAAAGAUCAGGUGGGGACUAAAGGUCCGCUCUUUGUAGUCAAUUAUAGCCAUCACCGUUAAUGAUGCCACCACGGAGAGCCGUGCAGGAGGAGAAGUGCUUCUCGGAGGUGAGGCUUGACAGCAUACCUGGGCUGCGAGGAGCUGGGAUGAAAACGCGGUGUGCACCUCCAGCCUCCAUCUCACCCACUCGGUGAUUCAUUUCAAGAACAGUCUAGUGGCUUUAAAAAAAAAAAAACACUGAACAAAAGACAAGCUUUCUAACCUCAAGUGCAUUCUCAUGUAUUCUUCAGAACCCGCACUGUUGAUGAUACUUCAACCUGGUAUUUAAUCAAAAAGAGAAAAAGCAGCACAGGGGCUGAAAGUUUCCCAUCUCUGCCUUUGGCGGUACGUUUUCCCAGCAAAGCCUGAGAUUUCCCAGCAAAGCCAAGCUUUUUAAUGGCUUUUGCUUGGAGAUGGUGCUUGUCCCACUCACUGCUGGGCAGAACAGUCAGCUUUUCCCCCUUGGAGAAUAUCAUCAUCAUUAUAAUUAUUUAAGAAUCAUUUUCAAAGUGCAGCUUUACGUUUCCAAAUCUCUUCCAGGAAGAAAAGGGUAAAAAAAAAAAAAAAAAAGUUAGAAAAAUAACUCGAAUUCUUAGAAAAGCAGGAAGACGUGGGGUUACUCAAAAGCUGGUUCUCAAGGUGAAGGAAAUCCCAUACUGACCAUAUGAGAGUCACCCCACGUGGCAGCAUCCCACGUACUGCCGAGGGAGGAGAGGAGGGGCAGCCUCAGUGCUCCGUCCCAUCGAAGGGCAAACUCCAGGAAAAGCCUCAACAUGAAAGAAAGCAGGAAUAGCACUGAAAUCCUGGCGCAGUUCCCCAUCCUGCUGGACUGCUAUAAAUACAACCGAGCGUGAGACAGCAGGAGCGGGUCCUGAAACCCCACUGAAACUUGGUGCGUGUAUCACUGUCCCUAUAAAUGCCAUCCACGCAGAGCCAGGUAAGCACAGAUACUCCCAGUUAAAAACUAAACCCCAAAAAGCAUUUUCCAGCUCUUCCCUAAACAGGGAGUUUCUUAAGCACGUGCUUAAUUUUAAGCAGAACCAUGAAGAACAUGUAUUUCAUUUUAGGAGCUGAUUUACUGCUUUGCUAAGGAAGAAUGCUUUGAUCAGAGUCAUCAUUUGCUUAGCCCGUGGCCAUUGAUUUCAAUUUAAUUGGCAUCCAUCAUCUUUGCAAAUGCAGCAGAAUAGAGCACUAAUAUUAUAGUCCAUGACAUAUUCCAUUCCUUUAAUUGCGUUUGCUGGCCAAAACAGGACCCUACAUGUAAGGUUAUUUAUGCACUUGUCCACAGAGCGGACUGCACAGCAAACAGCAGCAUUCAGUAUUUGAUGCAUUCCCUAAAAAACAGCCACGUUCUCUCUCAGAGAGGUGCAGCUCAGUCAGUAAUUCAAACUCUCAGCAUCCAUGAAAUCCUGCAAUCCAUUUACGCCUGCUUUGUAGAGGUGAUGUUUGCGUGGUGGUCUAAAGCCUUUUCUUUUUCUCUUUUCCUUUCCAGCAUGUGCUCUUGUACUUACCAGGGCACUUACAGUAUUAUUUAGGUUGCUGCCUGCCAUAUUUUCAUGCUACUAGAAGACAGUUUCUUCGACAUUUUCAUAAUGUUUUGAAAUGCUGAUGAGGAUUUAGCAUUAAAAUUAAUGGCAGCCAGCCGUGGUCUUUCAGAUGUGAAAGACUGCACAGUAUUUUCUGAGGAAAAAAGAGAGGGGGGAGAAGAAUGGAGAUAUAAAUAGCCAGUCUUGC
Molecule: long non-coding RNA, 2430 nt
Organism: Gallus gallus (chicken)
Lineage: Eukaryota; Metazoa; Chordata; Aves; Galliformes; Phasianidae
Source: Ensembl